This 96-nucleotide transfer RNA is filed under the name Pilimelia terevasa. Its description in RNAcentral is "tRNA-Arg". Lineage: Bacteria; Bacillati; Actinomycetota; Actinomycetes; Micromonosporales; Micromonosporaceae. The record is from RNAcentral.
GGGCCUGGAGCGGCACGAGGAGGCCGCCGGGCGGCUGCGGGCGGUUCUCGGGCAGGGCGACCUGCCCCUGUCGCUGGUCACGACGGCGCGGGUGCU